UUAUAGUAACAAGGAGGAGCAGAAAUGGAGGAGAGGAUGUAAGUAUUGAUAGUAUCAUUUCCAUCCUCUCCUUCAUUUCUCCUCCUCCUUAUUAAUGUAAA
Molecule: non-coding RNA, 101 nt
Organism: Podarcis lilfordi (Lilford's wall lizard)
Lineage: Eukaryota; Metazoa; Chordata; Lepidosauria; Squamata; Lacertidae
Source: the annotation of a GenBank genome assembly